Molecule: long non-coding RNA, 411 nt
Organism: Rhea pennata
Lineage: Eukaryota; Metazoa; Chordata; Aves; Rheiformes; Rheidae
Exons: 3
Source: RefSeq, a predicted model, not a curated record
CCUUGUUCUAAGCUUUCUCAUUUACAACAUCUGUGAAGGAGUUAAAUGCAUUUAUUUAUUAAAUUUACAGGUGACACUAAGCCAGGUGCAACUGCAAUUACAUUGCCUGGACAAGAUUAGAAUUGAACAUCAUCUUGAUAAAUUUGAGAAAUUAUCUGCAGAUACUGUGGACAUUGCAUGGAUUUUAUGAAAACCAAUCAAUGUAGACGAUACAUGAAGAGAAGAAUUACCAGGAAAACAGCUUAAUUUUCUUCAGAAAGCCUAGCUUCAAAGAGGACUGGCAAGGUCUCCCAUAUGAAUUCUAGCCCUUGUUAAGAGCGAUGUUCCAUUACAGUCGGUACAGAAGCUCUGGCUGUGGUCCCAUGUUUGCUAAUGCUGAUUUGUGUUACCUGAAUGCGGUGACAGAAGUUU